This 500-nucleotide ribosomal RNA is filed under the name uncultured bacterium. Its description in RNAcentral is "bacterial SSU rRNA". It matches the Rfam family "Bacterial small subunit ribosomal RNA", at positions 29 to 526 of the family's 1533-position model. The record is from RNAcentral.
AAUGAACGUUGGCGGCGUGCCUAACACAUGCAAGUCGAGCGAGAAAGCUCCUUCGGGAGUGAGUACAGCGGCGGACGAUUGAGUAACACGUGAGAAUUUGCCCUUCAGUGAAGAAUACCCUCGAGAAAUCGAGGUUAAUGCUGCAUACGUCCCUCCGGGGAGAAAGGUGGCCUCUUUGCUAUCGCUGAAGGAUAAGCUUGCGGCCUAUCAGUUAGUUGGCGGGGUAAAGGCCCACCAAGACUAUGACGGGUAGCCGGCCUGAGAGGGUGUACGGCCAGACUGGGACUGAGACACGGCCCAGACUCCUACGGGAGGCAGCAGUGAGGAAUAUUGCGCAAUGGGCGAAAGCCUGACGCAGCGACGCCGCGUGGAGGAUGAAGGUCUUCGGAUUGUAAACUCCUGUUAAGUGGGAAGAAAAGCUUGUUUCUAAUACAAGCAAGUUAUGACGGUACCAUUAGAGAAAGCACCGGCUAACUUCGUGCCAGCAGCCGCGGUAAUAC